This is an RNA transcript of Phoenix dactylifera (date palm), 2292 nucleotides long. It is a transcript of the gene named heterogeneous nuclear ribonucleoprotein 1-like, with no coding region annotated. The record is from RefSeq and is a predicted model, not a curated record. NCBI's taxonomy places the organism in Eukaryota, Viridiplantae, Streptophyta, Magnoliopsida, Arecales, Arecaceae.
ACCCUUUUAGGAAAACCCUAUAUCAGAUCUCCGCGGUCCAUUCCACUCCAACUCCCUCAUCAGAAACACCAUCGCCGUCCAAUCCCUCCAAGUCCACCAUUCGUUAUCCUUCCUUUCUCUGUCCUCGCCUCUCCCUCUUAUUCCCUCUCUCUCCUCUCAGAUAUUUCUGUCCCCCGUUGCCGUCAUCGCCAGCUCGCCCCCAAAACCCUAAUCCCCUUCCCUUCUCCAUCCCUAUUCUCGGAAGAAGAAACGAAAUCCCCUUCGAUUUCGAUCUCUCUAUAGAGAGGAGAAGGGAGCAGAGAAGAGGGAGCGAUGGAUUCGGAUCAGGGGAAGCUGUUCAUCGGGGGGAUAUCGUGGGAGACGACGGAGGAGAAGAUGAAGGAGUACUUCUCCAAGUACGGGGAGGUGCUGCAGACGGUGAUCAUGAGGGACAAGAUGACGGGCCGGCCCCGGGGUUUCGGCUUCGUCGUCUUUGCCGAUCCUUCCAUCCUCGACCGCGUCCUCCAGGACAGUCACACCAUCGACGGCCGGACGGUGGAAGCAAAAAGGGCUCUCUCAAGAGAGGAACAGCAGGCAUCCAAAUCUGGAAACCCUGCUGUUGGCAGAACUGGAGGAGGACAUGUUAGUGGCGGUAACUUUAGGACUAAGAAGAUAUUUGUAGGAGGGUUGCCCCCAACUUUGACAGAAGAAGCAUUUCGUCAGUACUUUCAGGGUUAUGGAGAUGUGACUGAUGUUGUGGUUAUGUAUGACCAAAACACCCAGCGCCCCCGAGGGUUUGGUUUUAUCUCUUUCAGUUCAGAAGAUGCUGUUGAUCGAGUGCUCCACAAGACUUUCCAUGAGCUCAAUGGCAAACUUGUGGAGGUCAAGCGGGCACUCCCAAAGGAUGCAAACCCUAGUGGCGGCGGCGGCGGCGGCGGCGGCGGCCGUCCAAAUGCUGGAGGGCCCUAUCAAACCAACAGUGCUUCUGGUGUCAAUAUGAGUUCCUAUGAUGCUAGAGCUGAUACUGGUAGGUAUAUGCAACCAGCAGCAGCUGGUGGUGGUUACCCAGCAUAUGGUUCAACAGGCUAUGGUACACCUGGAUAUGGGUAUGGAGCAGCAAAUAAUGGUGUAGGAUAUGGAGGUUAUGGUGUUGGAGGCUAUGGAAGUGCUACAGCAGGAUAUGGAGGACCUGCUGGAGCCUAUGGAAAUCCAAAUGCCCCAGCUGCCGGUUAUGCAGGCGGUCCACCAGGUGCACCUCGAAGCCCUUGGAGCAGCCAAGCUCCAUCUGCUUAUGGCUCAGCAAGCUAUGGUGCAAAUUCAGGCUACGGGGCGCCGGCUUCAUGGAAUGCAGCAGGUGGUGGGGGGGCUGCUGCCCCACCCACUGGUCAGUCUCCUAGUGGGACUGGGUACGGGAAUCAGGGAUAUGGGUAUGGCGGAUACGGUGGGGCUGAAGUCUCUUACGGCAGUCAAGGUGGCUAUGGGGCUGUCGGUGCACGUGGCAGUGGUGGCCCACCUACCAAUCCCACUGGUGGCCUGGGAGAACAAGGGGCUGGUUCUGGCUACAUGGGUGGCGGCUAUGGUGAUGCAAGUGGUGGCUCUGGUUAUCCAAAUUCUUGGAGGGCUGAUCCUUCUCAAGGAAUUGGUUAUGGAACUAGCCAAGUGAAUGGGCCUCCUGGUGGGCCAGCUGGUUAUGGUGGUGCCUAUGGUGGUGCUCAGUCAAGGCAGGCUCAGCAGCAGUAAUCAUGAUGGUGGGAUCAUAAUUCCACCUGGGAAUUCAGGCUCAAGAGUUGGUUCUUGAAUUUUGUCACGUGGCCUGCAUCACUUGGUUUUCUUGCCUGCUGUGAGGACUGGCUGUUGCCGAGGAAAGCAGUUUUCUGGGUCUGGGGCUGCCGCUCUUGUUCUCUUUCCUCUCCACCAACAUUGAAGCCUUUCACCAGGUGAGGUUAUAAAGCACUGAGGAACCUCUAAGUCGAGCGCAGGAGGAUGCUCCCAAAUCUGCUAAUUUGUUUUUAUUCAUCACAUUGGAAGUGGCUCUUGACUAAAUCGAUUGUUGAAGGGUGUUGCCUUGCAUGCCACAGCAGGUGGUUUUUUGAAAUGGAUGAUCCCAUCUCUUUCAUUACCUGUUCGGCGGCCUCAUUCAUUUUUGCUGCUUUAUACUGCAAUAUUUCUUUGAAGAUUAUCUUAGGGUAGGUCAAUGAGACUUGUGAAAUAAAUGAUUGAAAUUUAAUUAUGCAAAUCUUGUCUUAGUAGGCUUGAAAACCUGGAAACUUUUUCAGUUUUCAUAUACUCACAAAAGAGAGGUGGUUCGUGAGG